UUUCUUCCUAGUUCUCUGAAUGUCAAAGUGAAGAAAUUCAACCAUGUGCAGGUAAACGACAGGAGUAACUAUGAGUCUCUUAAGGUAGCCAAAUGCCUCGUCAUCUCAUUAGUGAUGUGCAUGAAUGGAU
This is a non-coding RNA of Picea glauca (white spruce), 130 nucleotides long. Lineage: Eukaryota; Viridiplantae; Streptophyta; Pinopsida; Pinales; Pinaceae. The record is from Rfam.